This is a small nuclear RNA of Rattus norvegicus (Norway rat), 107 nucleotides long. The record is from Ensembl. Lineage: Eukaryota; Metazoa; Chordata; Mammalia; Rodentia; Muridae.
GUGCUUACUUCGGCAGCACAUAUACUAAAAUUGGAACGAUACAGAGAAGAUGAGCAUGGCCCCUGCACAAGGAUGACACACGAAUUCGUGGAGCGUUCCAUAUUUAA